Arachis duranensis is the source of this 1546-nucleotide long non-coding RNA. RefSeq lists it as uncharacterized. The transcript is spliced from 5 exons. NCBI's taxonomy places the organism in Eukaryota, Viridiplantae, Streptophyta, Magnoliopsida, Fabales, Fabaceae. The record is from RefSeq and is a predicted model, not a curated record.
CUGUGUUAAACAUAUUAAAAAAAUAAAAAAAUAAAAUUGUUCUUCGUCUGGAUUAGAAACAUCUGAAAGUUUUCAGUCUUCUUCGUCUUCUUCUCUCCUCUUCCUAUCCUCUCUUUCUAUCUUUCUCUCUGCUCCUGGAUCUCUCUCAUCCGUCUCAGUAUGCGUAGCACGCAAAACGCCGUCGUUUUGUUGGAAUGCCCUAGCCAAUUACCCAACCCAGCAACCUUAGCUCCACACAACGGCGCGAACCCAUCCCUCCUAUCACCCUCGAGCUCCUCCUUCCUCUCUCCGUCAUCGAUCUCACUCCCUCACCUCCGUCCAUCUGCCGCCGCCGUCGCCGAAACGAGCUUCGAAGCCACCGUCGGUAUCGUGCACCAUCGUGCAGCUAUUGUUUCAGCUUUGAAAGCACCGUCGCGCAGCUCGGUUCCAUCGUCGCCGGGCUCGCCUCCUUUUUCUGUCGAGCAGAUCUGUUCUAUCGUCGCCGGCGCUAUCUCUGUUCCACCUGUCAUCCCUUCGGUCGUGCCCUUGUCCCCCUCUUGCUCAGGAUCUGCUCUGCUCUGUUCUAGGGCUUCUAGCUUCUAGGCAUUUGCUCAGUUACUACGAGCUCCUCAUGAUGAUGCAGAGUCGAUAAUAAAGGAAAGGUUUCCCAUACCUCGCCUAGUUGUUUGCGAUCAGCAUGGUUCCCAGGCUACUGUGUAUUUGUUGAUGCUGAGCAUGCUCUCGAUAAGGCACUUGCAGAAUCCAUUGGUGUGAAUACUGAAAACUUGUUGCUUUCUGUUAGGGACUUGGGUAUUAUGGGUGCUCAAAGUCCCACAUCGAGUAGUAUGGGAUGCUUGAUGUUGUACAUAAGGAGAGUGGUUCUUCUUCCUUAACAGCUAGCUUUAAGGUGUGGUUUCCCAAUUUUCUUAGAUACUUAACACUUUCACAACCAGAUUGUGGUGAACAAGCACUUAGUCUUGUGGAUACCUUAAUCCGUAGUGGUUCAGUUGACGUAAUUGUUGUUGACAGUUUGCUGGUAUUUGACAAGUAUGGAGCUUUCAGGAUCUUUGUCUCCUUUUGUUGCCAAUAUGACAGCUCUGGCUAGGAAACAUGCAAUGAGUUGACACUGUACCUGGUCAAUGAACUAUAUAUGCAGCUUCAGUGUGGUGUCUAGAUGAAGGUGCCAAUAUCCUCGAGUGUCAGAAGGAAAAGGGCCAGCUUGUGUUUCCCAUAUUCUUCUACAAAUAGAGCCAUCGGAUGUACGGCGUCAGAGAAAUAGUUAUAAACUUGCCAUGGCUGUUACUCUGAGAAGUGCAGAGGUGUUACAUACAUAGAUUAAAUGAACCAAUAUGUAUUAGAGACUCUGAGAAGCAUAUAUAGACUCUGACAUAGAUUAAGUGGGCAGUAAAUUUUGCUCAUAGAGACUGACAUAGAUUUGUUGAGACAAAUUUUGUAAAGAAUGCUCUUUCUUUUUGUUUUGAAGAUUGUCCAUUUUGCUCUCUUCCUUAUAUUAUUCCUUUGAAAGUGUAAAAAUUUUAGAUGAAUGAAAGAAAGUUAUUGCAUCUCA